UCCAACACUGGAUGGGUGCUGUGAACUGGA
Molecule: non-coding RNA, 30 nt
Filed under: Homo sapiens (human)
Lineage: Eukaryota; Metazoa; Chordata; Mammalia; Primates; Hominidae
Source: RNAcentral